CCUAGUGAUCCAGGCAUUCAGCCCCUACCACCAAGAGAGAGGAAAGCCUGGCUACUGCUCCAACUGGCAGCAGAGCUUGGCACCAUCCAUGUGGUGCUGGUUUUGGCCGUCAUGAAUGGCUGCCCCUCAGCCAUGCCACCCUGCCUUGGAGCCAGCUGAGAAUGGACUGAAACCUCCAGAAAACUGGUGGCAUUGGAGAAGGCAGCUCCUGUCACAAGCUCAAGGAGAAGGAAGACCAGGCCCAGUACAGCUGUCCUGUGCUUUUGGGGAGACCUGGGCCGCAGACUCCAUCGCUGCAGCCACCUUGUGAGAUCAGUGAUUCUUCAGACUUGAAGCACCCCAUGCAGUUGGCCAGGGGCCUUUCCACAUGGCCUCCCCCUUCUAAG
Cavia porcellus (domestic guinea pig) is the source of this 386-nucleotide long non-coding RNA. RefSeq lists it as uncharacterized. The transcript has 3 exons. Lineage: Eukaryota; Metazoa; Chordata; Mammalia; Rodentia; Caviidae. The record is from RefSeq and is a predicted model, not a curated record.